This is a long non-coding RNA of Scylla paramamosain (green mud crab), 718 nucleotides long. RefSeq lists it as uncharacterized. The record is from RefSeq and is a predicted model, not a curated record. Lineage: Eukaryota; Metazoa; Arthropoda; Malacostraca; Decapoda; Portunidae. The transcript has 4 exons.
UCUGACAAAAAAAAAAAAAAGUAAAUAAAUAAAAGGUGACAUGGGCUUGAAAAGCCUCGCGGCGAACAGGUUAGAAGCAGAAGAAACCUCUGGUCGGUCCACAGAUCACGUCUACAGAGAUGACAGGACAUGCGAGUCUCCUUCCCUGCCUCCGUGUUGGGGUAAUGUUGUAUUUCCCUUACAUGAGGUUCGACCUAAACACGAAACCGUACAAGUACGUCGGCACAAUGGUGGAUGUAAACCGUAUCAUCGGUGAGAAACUAAAUCGUUGCAUCGAAUAUGUAGUUCCUGGUAAUCCUUCAGGUGGCGUAGAGCUACCCAAUGGCUCGUGGACUGGCGUUGUCGGUCAACUCACUCGGCAAGAGGUGGACUAUGUGGGAGUGCCUUCCGUGGUAAGUGACCGAAGGCUUCGAGCCGUGGACUACAGCGUGGCGGUGGCCAUGGAAAAACAACUGAUUAUGUACCGACGACCAACCUUCGAGGCGGACGUUUCGGGAUUCAUAAAGCCUUACACACUUUACGUAAGACAUUACAGAAUAUGAACACUUAAUAUGGACAGGGAAAAAAUGCAUAACACAAUCCUUAUGCCAACAUUUCUGCAGUAAAUUUUAUUCUCACACAUGAUGUCAGGAUACAGAAGUGCAGGAGACGAGAAAGACACUUUUUCAUUUAAAAGCUAAAUAUAGGAAGAUAAUACGGCGUCAAUCAGUCUGUCAGC